Long non-coding RNA from Limulus polyphemus (Atlantic horseshoe crab), 934 nucleotides. RefSeq lists it as uncharacterized. NCBI's taxonomy places the organism in Eukaryota, Metazoa, Arthropoda, Merostomata, Xiphosura, Limulidae. The record is from RefSeq and is a predicted model, not a curated record. The transcript is spliced from 3 exons.
UAAGAUAUGCAGAGAACAGUUUGCAGCUCUACAUAGUCAACCCAUCCUUGAAAACUUGUCAGAAUUUUUGGUACAGAAGUUUGGAUUCCCUGAACAUGAAUUAACAGAUGAUGGCACAACUUCUGAUAUGGCAAAAAAGAGAUUAAAUGAAACUCUGUCUAAGAUUCCCAAGAAAGGAACAUUUCAAGUUGAAAAAGUUUUGAGUUCAACGUAUUUCUUCAGCUGAGGUUGGAACAGCAAGUAAAAUACCCUGAAGAUUUCAUUCUAUCAUUCUGUUAAAUUUAUUUGUAACAUCAUGAUGUUUGGUAAAUACUAUUUAUAAAGUUGUUUUACACUACAUGGAUACAUUAGAUAUGUACAAAAGUAAAGUAAGAUUGUUCAAUGAAUCAGUUUCAUUUUAUCUUUCUUUUAUUUAUAUAUGUGCAUUUAUUGAAUAUCAUUUUCACACCAUCAUUCAGCAUUUAGAGGAAGAGGCAAGAUAUUUAAUGACUUAUUUGUUUGCGACAUAAAUUGAGCAAAAUGUAAGAGAAAUAACACUUUACCUAGUUCUGUUUGUAAUAAAUCAGACUCAGGAAAUGCUCAGUUGUUUAUUUUCGAUAAAUAACAGUAAAAAGUUAAAAAUAACAUAUGUUGUAUUGUCUUGCAUCUCAAGAACCGAGUUAUACAGUUGUUCCGAAGAAAACAACUGUGUAAUAUGCCUAAUUUUCAAAGUGAGAACAUUAAACUUAUAUGAUAGGUGUAUCAAUUCUUAUAGAAUGCGAUAUACUUAAACUCAUGUAAACAAAUUAAACAGUGAGUUGAAAUUAAAAAUAUUAUUGUUUUUCAAGUGUACAAGACCUAUACAGAAUACUGGUAUAUAAACUAUACUGCUUUGUGAUUUCUUCUUCAAUUUGAAUAGAAAAAAAGGAGAAUUUCGACUGCACAAAUUAAACAU